ACGCUUGAAGUCAGUCACAUUGACUCGAAAUCAGCUCUGCUUUUGCUGGGUGUAUUUUCUUGCCAAUGGGUCAGCAUCAAUUUUGACCAUUGGAUAAAGUCAUUGGGAAUGUGGCAUCUUUUAGAUGUGUUAUAGCCUGGUGAUGCAUACAGUGGUUGGGAUUGAGGAAUUCAGCACGCCACCAGGCCGGGUUUUCUGACCACGUUCGUGCUUAGGAUGCUGGCAUAAUGGCUUUAAUUGACCCGUCUUGAAACACGGACCAAGGAGUC
Molecule: ribosomal RNA, 269 nt
Filed under: Inocybe sp. TR138-05
Lineage: Eukaryota; Fungi; Basidiomycota; Agaricomycetes; Agaricales; Inocybaceae
Description: partial large subunit ribosomal RNA
Rfam family: Eukaryotic large subunit ribosomal RNA
Source: RNAcentral